AUGGACGAAGACGACGUCGCCAGCAGCCACGGCGGCCGGGGCAGAGGCUGCCCGUGCCUGCCGUUCUGCUUCUGGGGCUCCCGUGUACCGGCCGCGCCGGAGCGGCGGAGGCGUCGCCGGCGCAGGUUCAGGCUCAGGCUGAGGCUCAGCCUGUCGUGGUUCUCGUGGUCGUGGCGGUGGCUCCGGAAGAGCCGCGGAGGCAAGAGCUCGGAGGCGGGCGGCAAGAACAAGGGGAAGCGGAGGAGGAAGCUGCUGCUGCUCCUGCUCAGGUCGCUGCAGGUCAAGAAGGCGCUCGCGUCCGUCUCGUCGGGAAGCAGCUUCCUACCAAAGCUGCAGGUUGGCGGCUCCGGCGGCGCCAAGAAGCAAAAACGGAGCAAGCCAUGGCGAACGGUCGAUGACGACGCCGCACCAACCACGAGCUGCGCUAAAGAGACGGCGCCUGUGCGGCCGGAGACGAUCAGCCCGCCUUUCCCGAGGCCGGCCGAUGGCGUGUGGCGAGCCCCGUCGUCCAGGUUCCACUCGCUCCAGCUCGACCGUGGCAGCGCCGAGCCUUCCGCAGGCGGCCUGUGGACGGCGGCCACGACGCUGGGCGUGAUCGUGUUCUUCGGCCGCGUCACCGCGGUGCUCUUCUUGUGCUCGUGCAUGUACGGCGCGCGGUGGCUCGGGGCUGCACGGACCGACGCCAGGGGCGGCAUUGCCGAUGGCGGCAGCAGCCGGAGGCUCGGCGACCGGGUGGCGCUGGACUACUUGUGCGCGGAGGAGCACAAGAAGGUGGUCAUGUGUGGGUUGCUGGACAGAGCCGGCGGCAAGAGGCCGUCGUCGCGCUUUUGUAUAUAG
RNAcentral lists this ribosomal RNA (837 nucleotides) under Triticum aestivum (bread wheat). Its description in RNAcentral is "partial small subunit ribosomal RNA". The record is from RNAcentral. Lineage: Eukaryota; Viridiplantae; Streptophyta; Magnoliopsida; Poales; Poaceae.